UGCUGGAGAUGAAUUGAGUUUUAGUUAAUUUCGUGGUGAUAGUUUGGAUGAAUUCGUAAUGGAGAGCUCAAUGAAAGGAUAUAUGGUUGGGCUUCUCUAUUUUACCACUCAAGAGGUAAUUAGAAGGAUGAGGACUGUUGGUUGUGCUUUUGGGCACUGUUGCAGCGUGAGGACACGAGAGAGACCAUCCGUUUGACGAGCAGGGUAUUGG
This 211-nucleotide long non-coding RNA is filed under the name Setaria viridis. RNAcentral describes it as "long non-coding RNA (SVIR_LNC009467)". Lineage: Eukaryota; Viridiplantae; Streptophyta; Magnoliopsida; Poales; Poaceae. The record is from RNAcentral.